Molecule: ribosomal RNA, 446 nt
Filed under: uncultured bacterium
Lineage: Bacteria
Description: partial 16S ribosomal RNA
Rfam family: Bacterial small subunit ribosomal RNA
Source: RNAcentral
CCUACGGGAGGCUGCAGUGGGGAAUAUUGCGCAAUGGGCGAAAGCCUGACGCAGCGACGCCGCGUGGGUGAUGAAGGCCUUCGGGUUGUAAAGCCCUGUCGGGUGGAACGAACGAUCUGGCGGCGAAUAACCGCCGGGUGUGACGGUACCACCGAAGGAAGCCCCGGCUAACUACGUGCCAGCAGCCGCGGUAAGCCGUAGGGGGCGAGCGUUGUUCGGGUUUAGGGGGCGUAAAGAGUCCGUGGGCGGCUCCCUCGGCUUAACCGAGGUCCCGCAUCCGAUACUGUCUGGCUCGAGUCUAGGAGAGGAAGGCGGAAUUCCCAGUGUAGCGGUGAAAUGCGUAGAUAUUGGGAGGAACACCGGUGGCGAAGGCGGCUUUCCGGACUAGUACUGACGCUGAGGCGCGAAAGCUAGGGGAGCGAACGGGAUUAGAUACCCCGGUAGUC